Long non-coding RNA from Mauremys reevesii (Reeves's turtle), 828 nucleotides. RefSeq lists it as uncharacterized. The record is from RefSeq and is a predicted model, not a curated record. Lineage: Eukaryota; Metazoa; Chordata; Testudines; Geoemydidae. The transcript has 3 exons.
GUAACGCAGUCCCUGCCCCAAAGAGCGAAAGGCCUGGAUGCACAAAAAGGGGUCGGUGCCUCAUUCCCUGUGUUGGACACGUAAGCCCCAGUCUCAGGACCAAUGUGAGGCACAAAACUCCCACUGAGCCCUGCAGUGCUGAGGCGCCUCACCUGGGCUGCGGGAGACCCCUGGCUCAAGUCCCCAAGGGGCAACGGGAUUUGAACAAGAAUCUGCCACCUCGCAGCAUUUUCACCGAGCAGGCUGAACGAGCAGGAUGUGCUUUUCUUGGAUGGACAUGGCUGAGAGAAACGACCGGCACAUGAGUCUGCAUGGACAGCAGGGCAUGGAGCCUGUGCCACAAGAGAUGAAUUAACUAGACCAAUAGGCUGGCCUAGCAGGGAUACCAAACCCUUGGCCUCUGCUGAGGUUCCCAGCUGCAGGGUUUCUUGGCGCUGAUCAUGAUGGAGGUUCUGUGAUAUGGACACUUGUCUGCUAGGAGCUGGAGUGUGACAACCAAGCAGGUCUCUGAUCAGAUUUGAUCUAUGUGCUCCAUUACCAGUCCCCUGAAUAAUGCAGGCCCCAGGACAUGCCAACCUAACUUCUAAAAGAAGACAGUUGAAUGGGAGCCCAUGAGCGUAACUCCUAAGUCAGCUGGAGGAUUGCUGCUUCUGCCUUCUGGACCAAGGUCGCUGCCUUCCAGUAAUUCCAACAUCUGCAGCUUGGGAUACAGAAGAUCAUAACUGAGAGUCAAGCCCAGGCCUUAUGUUUGGGGCAAUAAAUAAGAUAUUGUUAUGCUGGAAGAUGCUGAUGGCGGCCAUCAAGUUGGUCUUUGAUCUAGAGACAAUU